CUGUGGCAGUCCGCGGGGCCGGUGUCUCCAUAAAUGGCCGUUAAAGCUCUGUCUUCUGUGGCUUCCCUGGCCCUGCUGCGGGCUCCUCGGCCGCCUGUGCCGAGUGGCCUGGGAAAUCUUAAAAUUCGGAUUCUCAGAACUUCACACAAAUGAAAAAAAUGUAUCUACCAUUUUUCUGAAAGCUUUCCCUGUUUAAGAAAACUUUUCUGCCAAGUGACUCUUAGGGAGAUGCAUGCUUUUGCAUCUGACAUAUGUGGAACUACUAAAAUAAAAGUUACCAGGAAAGAUGUGCAAAACUGGAAGUUAAUCUGAACGAUGCCAUGUGGAAGGAGGAUUUCAUGGAGGAUUUCUGUGCUCAUGACAUUAAACUUUUUGAAAUUAUGCAUAGAAUUCAAGGUC
Nothoprocta perdicaria is the source of this 399-nucleotide long non-coding RNA. RefSeq lists it as uncharacterized. The transcript has 3 exons. NCBI's taxonomy places the organism in Eukaryota, Metazoa, Chordata, Aves, Tinamiformes, Tinamidae. The record is from RefSeq and is a predicted model, not a curated record.